UAACUUACCUGGCAAGGAAGAUACCAUGAUCAAUAGGUUCUUCCAGGAUGAGGCCUAUCCAUUGCACGCUGGGAAGGCUGACUGCUGUGAGUUUACCAAAUGUGGGGAACUCAACUGUACACUUUUGUGGUAAUGGGGGACUGCAUUUGCACUUUCUCCCU
This 161-nucleotide small nuclear RNA is filed under the name Crocodylus porosus (Australian saltwater crocodile). RNAcentral describes it as "U1 spliceosomal RNA (ENSCPRG00005001206.1)". It matches the Rfam family "U1 spliceosomal RNA". Rfam says of the family: U1 is a small nuclear RNA (snRNA) component of the spliceosome (involved in pre-mRNA splicing). Its 5' end forms complementary base pairs with the 5' splice junction, thus defining the 5' donor site of an intron. The record is from Rfam by way of RNAcentral. Lineage: Eukaryota; Metazoa; Chordata; Crocodylia; Crocodylidae.